This is a long non-coding RNA of Perca fluviatilis (European perch), 1033 nucleotides long. RefSeq lists it as uncharacterized. The record is from RefSeq and is a predicted model, not a curated record. NCBI's taxonomy places the organism in Eukaryota, Metazoa, Chordata, Actinopteri, Perciformes, Percidae. The transcript has 7 exons.
GCUGGAUGCCACCUGCGUGCCCGUAGCCCUGCUGCAAUGUGAUUGGCUAUAUGCCAGGUGCUGUUGUCGUCAUUUGCUAGUUGUAGUAUUUCUUUUGUAGCAACUGUGGUCACUCGCCGUGUACACCGUGGAUUAAUCUUCUACAGCUCAAAAGUGAAAGUGUGACUUUUGAAGAAAAACUUUAUAUUAAACACUUCGGUGCCCUCCAACCUCGGAUAUUGUUAUAAAGCAAACCUCUGCUAAAAUAAUGCAGAUUUAACGUGGAGUGGUUCUUCGGUUGGGGGGGGGGAGCUAACUGCUAACGUUAGCUUGUCAGAGGAGACGCGUUUUUGCUAGCUACCCUUGUGUGUUAUUCGGAGGGGAGAUACUCAAGAAGAAUUUGACAGCGCAUACAAACGGGGAAUUGCGCAGUGUAACAGAGUGCAAGUGGAGGAGAACAGUCCUCAGAGGAGGACCAUUGCCUCAGCUGAAUAAGCAGUUGACUGCUAGUUUCAAAUGCUUUUGAAUGCUGAAGAGGAGUACAAAUGAGUCCUCCUCCGAAGGUCAGCAUACGGCUGUUUACUGAGCUUUCGUGCCCACCAAGGGUUCUCGACCCAGCUUCCACUCCAGCCCCUUUGGUUCACUAGUCUGCACAGCGGGACCAGAGGGCAGCUGCAUCAAGACUUGCAUCAGGCCAGCUAUGCUAAAAGAAAUGAUGACGAAAUGCAGAGAUGCUUCCUGUCCUUCCACUGGAACAAGGUCUAAUCGUCUUUUGCAGGUGAUGCUGACGUGCGUGGCCAAUCGGAUCAAGCGGAUGCACUGAUUUUGACUCGAGGGAAGAGCUACAGUUACUCAUGCGGAUGGACUGAUGCCAUGCUGAGAAAGCCGACUGGUGGAGGCUGAUGUCAUGCAUCCCAUUAACCAAUUAACCAGAGAGAGAGAGAGAGAGAGCGAGAGGGACCAUUGCAGGGCCUCUGUACGGAUUUGCAAUGACAGAUUGACACAGAGGAUGAUGAGCACUACGAUAUUGAGGUGGAGGUGGCCAAGAAUGAGA